UGUUAUUAAUAAGAAGAGAGCAGGGAGGCAGGGCAGCUGCCAGAGGAGCAGUGCGGGAAGGGACCUAAAAGCUUCCUGGAAAUAUCAGGGGAGGGAAAAUGGAGACUCCCUGGAGCUUCUUGUUGGAAAAGGUGUUUGCUUGGCUCCUCCUUCUCUCACCCCAGAGUUCAGAACAGAUCUCACCCGGACGGACGGACAGACGGCUUCCCAGCGUCUCCACAGCCCACUCCAACCCCUUGCUACCAUGGCGCAGACUCAGAUCCCCGAGUUCUGCUCUUGCUCGCUCUCUCUAGACUGUUGACCUACCUACUACUCUCAAACCUAUGUGAUGAGAAUGCCUGCAUUUCAUUGUAUCUGUGGUGGAGAGCCCUGAGCCAUAAGGACCAGAUCUCCAUCUAAGCACUCACAAGCAAUGGGGAAACAGAGCCUGAACUGGCCAUCUCCUGUAACCAGGUGUGACCCUCCUACAGCUGAGGGCUGAUUCUUCAGACCCCGCCUUCCA
Molecule: long non-coding RNA, 502 nt
Organism: Mastomys coucha (southern multimammate mouse)
Lineage: Eukaryota; Metazoa; Chordata; Mammalia; Rodentia; Muridae
Exons: 3
Source: RefSeq, a predicted model, not a curated record